Molecule: long non-coding RNA, 270 nt
Filed under: Homo sapiens (human)
Lineage: Eukaryota; Metazoa; Chordata; Mammalia; Primates; Hominidae
Description: non-protein coding lnc-SLC50A1-2:1
Source: RNAcentral
AUGCCCAAGGGAAAGGCUGAAGGGGAUCCUAAAGGAGAUAAAGCCAAGGUGAAGGACGAACCACAAAGGAGAUCCGCGAGGUUGUCUGCUAAACCUUCUUCUCCAAAGCCAGAGCCCAAGCCUAAAAAGGCCCCUGCAAAGAAGGGAGAGAAGGUACUCAAAGAGAAGAAGGGAAAAGCUGAUGCUGGAAAGGAGGGGAAUAACCCUGCAGAAAAUGGAGAUGCCAAAACAGACCAGGAACAGAAAGCUGAAGGUGCUGGAGAUGCCAGA